GAUGAAGAACGCAGCGAAAUGCGAAAAGUAAUGUGAAUUGCAGAAUUCAGUGAACCAUCGAAUCUUUGAACGCACAUUGCGCCCGCUGGAACUCCGGCGGGCACGCCUGUCCGAGCGUCAUUUCAACCCUCAGGCCCCCCUUCGCGGGCGGGCCUUGUGUUGGGGCCCGGCCGCUACCCUGCGGCCGUCCCCUAAAUCCAGUGGCGGCCUCGCCGUGAUCCCUUGCGUAGUAAUGCACCUCGCACCGGAGAGCGCCGUGGCCACGCCGUAAAACCCCCAAUUUUCAAUGGUUGACCUCGGAUCAGGUGGGAAUACCCGCUGAACUUAAGCAUAUCAAUAAGCGGAGGA
Molecule: unclassified non-coding RNA, 348 nt
Filed under: soil metagenome
Description: partial contains 5.8S ribosomal RNA, internal transcribed spacer 2, and large subunit ribosomal RNA
Rfam family: 5.8S ribosomal RNA (bases 1-120)
Source: RNAcentral